Molecule: ribosomal RNA, 537 nt
Filed under: uncultured bacterium
Lineage: Bacteria
Description: partial 16S ribosomal RNA
Rfam family: Bacterial small subunit ribosomal RNA
Source: RNAcentral
GGCCGUGGGGGAUUUUGGGCAAUGGGGGCCAUUCUGAUUCAGCCCUUGCGGGUGCAGGGAGGCAGUUCUUUGGGUUGUUAAAUGGUUUUUUUCCGGGAGGAAAAAUUUGGCUUGUUAGGUUUUGGCGGUUCUGUUAGGAUUAGGAUUGGGUUAAUUCGUGGCCGCCGGCGGGGUUAUUAGGGGGGUUUCAGGGUUAUUCGGGAUUCUUGGGUUUUAAGGGUUUGUUGGGGGGGCCAUAAGUUAGUGGGGGAAGUUUGUGGGUUCACCCUUAAAUUGCCCUUGGUAAUGUUGUUUUUGAGGUUUUGUGAAGUGGGUUGAAAGUGUUGUGGAGCGGUGAAAUGCCUUGGUUUUUCCCCGGACCCCCAUUGGGGAGGCCUAUCCCUUACCAUAUUCUGACGGUGAUGGACGGAAGGGUUGGUUGCCCACCGGGUUUGAUUCCCUGGUUGUUUUCGCUGUUAAAUAUGGGUUCUAGCUGUUUGGUGCACAUUAGGGCAAUGAGUGGUUAAGCGAAAGUGAUAAGUACCCCUGGAGUCUAGG